CUAAGGUAAAGUCUCAUCUCCUCUCUCUCGUCAGUGCAGUAGGACUAAGGUAAAGUCCCAUCUCCUCUCUCUCGUCAGUGCAGUAGGACUAAGGUAAAGUCUCAUCUCCUCUCUCUCGUCAGUGCAGUAGGACUAAGGUAAAGUCUCCGGGACAUAAUGUAUCAUCUCCUCUCUCUCGACAGUGCAGUAGGACUAAGGUAAAGUCUCAUCUCCUCUCUCUCGUCAGUGCAGUAGGACUAAGGUAAAGUCUCAUCUCCUCUCUCUCGUCAGUGCAGUAGGACUAAGGUAAAGUCCCAUCUCCUCUCUCUCGUCAGUGCAGUAGGACUAAGGUAAAGUCUCUGGGACAUAAUGUAUCAUCUCCUCUCUCUCGUCAGUGCAGUAGGACUAAGGUAAAGUCUCUGGGACAUAAUGUAUCAUCUCCUCUCUCUCGUCAGUGCAGUAGGACUAAGGUAAAGUCUCUGGGUCAUAAUGUAUCCUCUCCUCUCUCUCGUCAGUGCAGUAGGACUAAGGUAAAGUCUCUGGGACAUAAUGUAUCAUCUCCUCUCUCUCGUCAGUGCAGUAGGACGGACUAAGGUAAAGUCUCUGGGACAUAAUGUAUCAUCUCUCUCUCGUCAGUGCAGUAGGACUAAGGUAAAGUCUCAUCUCCUCUCUCUCGUCAGUGCAGUAGGACUAAGGUAAAGUCUCUGGGACAUAAUGUAUCAUCUCCUCUCUCUCGUCAGUGCAGUAGGACGGACUAAGGUAAAGUCUCUGGGACAUAAUGUAUCAUCUCUCUCUCGUCAGUGCAGUAGGACUAAGGUAAAGUCUCAUCUCCUCUCUCUCGUCAGUGCAGUAGGACUAAGGUAAAGUCUCUGGGACAUAAUGUAUAAUCUCCUCUCUCUCGUCAGUGCAGUAGGACUAAGGUAAAGUCUCAUCUCCUCUCUCUCGUCAGUGCAGUAGGACUAAGGUAAAGUCUCUGGGACAUAAUGUAUCAUCUCCUCUCUCUCCAUCAACAGAUAUGGUAAAGUUAUAUUAGUUCAAACAGCACUAUCGAUGUUAUCAGUUGGUCCUGGUUGAUUAUCUACAUGAUGCAUAAGUCCUGUAGUUUGUUAGUGCCACUAUGAGAGGAAUAACAUGGUUCAAUGACCCAACAAACGAUCCUCCGUCCACCUCAACCUCCUCGCUUUGCUCAUGCGGCCUAAAUAUGUGGAAAACACAUUGUCCAUAACAAUAUUCAGAUCCGUACUAUUCAGUAGUUAGGCAAUAUGAGUGUACUAUACAGUAUAUGUGACCUAAAACUGUUC
Long non-coding RNA from Oncorhynchus tshawytscha (Chinook salmon), 1280 nucleotides. RefSeq lists it as uncharacterized. The record is from RefSeq and is a predicted model, not a curated record. The transcript has 4 exons. Lineage: Eukaryota; Metazoa; Chordata; Actinopteri; Salmoniformes; Salmonidae.